UCAGGCAUGUUACUACUCUAGGAAAGUAUGUCAGACACUACUAUGACCUAUACAACACAUUAAAGCUCAAGGAAAGAAAGAAAUCGGCACAUUGUGACAUGGAAAUCCUGAGGAAGUAGUGUGCCAGAAAGUGUCAGGUGACAUAGAAAUCUGAGAACAGAAUUAGACUCAAAAGCAAUUUUAUUUGGUCUGUCUUAUAUAAAUUUAUUUGUAAAACAAUAUAUAAACAAUCUUAUCUCUUUCUAUCUGUGAUCAAGGAAUGGAAAGUUGUGAAUCCUUUCCAUGUGCGUGUACGCCGGAAGAAUCCAGUAAUUGGAAGCUAUGUACAUAUGGCUCUACAGCUGUACCAAGUUGACUACAAAUCACAUUUGCUGGAUUUCAAGAUUAUAUGUAAUGAGCCUGCAGAUUUGGUGGCACAGGAAAAGAGGAAUAAUCAAGAUGAAGUCCAGACGCAGGGACAUCAUGUCAUGGAGUUCUUUGAAAUGUGUGCAGCUCUAAUCACGGAACUAGCUCGUUAAGAGCUGCACUUCCCAUCAAUAGUCCUGAUGUGCCUAAAACAUUUAUGAUUUGGAUCUCUUACUUGUAACAUCAGUGCAAUGUUGUGAAAUCCAUUUAGAUAUCUAGACAGGAAUGGUAUGUACAUAUAUAUACACAUAUCUCUCAAUAUUCCUUUUUCAUGCAAUUAUAAGUAUACACUUUACUUAUAAUGUUAAUUGUAAAGACUGUCACCAUUUGUUUUCUUUUCAUCUAUAAUGCUAUUAAGCUACCUGCUUUAUUCUGUUUUAAAGGCAUUGCAGUACUUUAGCUGUAUUUUUCUUAGUUUUCAAAUGUUCAGAGCUUAAUAAUUACAAGAUAAACUAGACUGAUUAUAACUAAACCAUAUGAUUCAUGUUUAUGUCCAAAGGAAAGAUAAAAAUUAUGGUUAAUUAAUUAGGUUAACAUGUAUAUAUAAAAAAAGACAUUUUGGUACACAAAAAUAAAUGCUUGUGAUCCUUUGUUAUGUACUAAUACAAGUAGAUGUAAGAUACCAUAGAUCAUGCACUGUAGUUUUUGCUUGUAGAGAUUUAUAACUAUAUACUUAUUUCAAAUUGUAUUUCUUUUCAUGCCAAUUGUCAAUUUAUAUUUUAACCCUAAAAAUGUUUAUCAAGGAAAUGUUUUUGGUAGAUGCAUUGCAGAUCAUAUUUAUAUAAUGUAAAUAUUAUAAAAUUAUGUAUUUAUAUUAUAUGCUUUACAUACUUCUAAAUUGUAUAAUUAAAUUUUUUAUCUGUAAAAUUUUAAAAAUUAAUACUAUGUGAUUGUGAUUUUAAAUAUAUACACCAUGAGCAAAUUCAGUUUAAAUAAAGUACCAUAAAGCUAGGCUUAUACAUACAAUGAUGUGUCAUAUACUAAUAAGUGUAACAGAUAUGUAACUUGAGCAUAUCAACAAUCUUUUUAUAAGGGAUGUGGUGUAUCAUGACUUUCUGAUUAUGUAAAUAAAAUGUGGUACAGUAUUGUACAUACACGCACACUCUU
This is a long non-coding RNA of Penaeus monodon (black tiger shrimp), 1512 nucleotides long. RefSeq lists it as uncharacterized. The record is from RefSeq and is a predicted model, not a curated record. The transcript has 2 exons. NCBI's taxonomy places the organism in Eukaryota, Metazoa, Arthropoda, Malacostraca, Decapoda, Penaeidae.